Molecule: transfer RNA, 64 nt
Filed under: Clitarchus hookeri (smooth stick-insect)
Lineage: Eukaryota; Metazoa; Arthropoda; Insecta; Phasmatodea; Phasmatidae
Description: tRNA-Leu
Source: RNAcentral
UCUAAUAUGGCAGAUUAGUGCAAUAGAUUUAAGACCUAUAAAUAAAGAAAUUCUUUUAUUAGAA